RNAcentral lists this ribosomal RNA (500 nucleotides) under uncultured bacterium. RNAcentral describes it as "partial 16S ribosomal RNA". It matches the Rfam family "Bacterial small subunit ribosomal RNA", at positions 29 to 523 of the family's 1533-position model. The record is from RNAcentral.
AUUGAACGCUGGCGGCAUGCCUUACACAUGCAAGUCGAACGGAUUGAAGGGGCUUGCCCCGUGAGUUAGGGGCGAAUGGGUGAGUAAAGCAUCGGAACGCAGCCAGUGGUGGGGGAGAACGUAGCGAUAGGUAAGUAAAGACCACAUACGAACUGAGGAAGAAAGGGGGGGAUCGAAAGAGCGCGCGUGGUUGGAGCGAUCGCUGUCGGAUUAGCUAGUUGGUGGGGGAAAGGCCUACCAAGCCGACGAUCCGUGGCUGGUCUGAGAGGACGAUCAGCCACACUGGAACUGAGACACGGUCCAGACUCCUACGGGAGGCAGCAGUGGGGAAUUUUGGACAAUGGGGGAAACUCUGAUCCAGCCAUGCCGCGUGAGUGAAGAAGGCCUUCGGGUUGUAAAGCUCUUUCAGUCGGAAAGAAAAGGCUCCGGAUAAUACCUGGAGUUCAUGACGGUACCGACAGAAGAAGCACCGGCUAACUACGUGCCAGCCGCCGCAGUAA